UACGUAGGGGGCAAGCGUUGUCCGGAUUUAUUGGGCGUAAAGAGCGCGUAGGCGGCUAGGUAGGUCCGUUGUGAAAACUCGAGGCUUAACCUCGAGACGCCGAUGGAAACCAUCUGGCUAGAGUCCGGAAGAGGAGAGUGGAAUUCCUGGUGUAGCGGUGAAAUGCGCAGAUAUCAGGAAGAACACCCGUGGCUAAGGCGGCUCUCUAGUACGGUACUGACGCUGAGACGCGAAAGCGUGGGGAGCGAACAGG
RNAcentral lists this ribosomal RNA (253 nucleotides) under uncultured bacterium. Its description in RNAcentral is "partial 16S ribosomal RNA". It matches the Rfam family "Bacterial small subunit ribosomal RNA", at positions 524 to 776 of the family's 1533-position model. The record is from RNAcentral.